ACCUAAACAUUGUGUGUUAGCAGGGGCAAGUGGAACACAUACCAUCUGUGUCUGUACGAUCCAUCAAAACGUUAAGUUAAUGAUGCUUGGUGCGAAUAUUUAUUCUCUAACAAGAAAUACAGAUAUAUCCAUUACAUACUAUAGUGAUUGUUUGAGUUUGAUUGUAUAAAAUUACACGUAGCAGUAUGGUGCAACUUUGGCGGCCCUCAC
Cotesia glomerata is the source of this 210-nucleotide long non-coding RNA. RefSeq lists it as uncharacterized. NCBI's taxonomy places the organism in Eukaryota, Metazoa, Arthropoda, Insecta, Hymenoptera, Braconidae. The record is from RefSeq and is a predicted model, not a curated record. The transcript has 5 exons.